GCCAGCUUGCUUUUUUAGAAACUAACAAAUGAGUAAAUUAACUAGUAAAAAUUGAUGUAUGAUCUCAUCAAUUGGCUGUUACAAAUCAGUUGCUAGAUUAGAAAAGUUAUAUGCAUCUAUUCAUAUCUUUUUUGAAGAGAUUAUGCAUCCAAUAUAUUGAUCAUUACAUUCUCCGCAAAAACCAUAGUUUUUCCUUAAAAGCUCUAGUGUGUCUCUAAACAAUCAC
This 226-nucleotide long non-coding RNA is filed under the name Elaeis guineensis (African oil palm). RNAcentral's name for it is "long non-coding RNA (EGUI_LNC027301)". The record is from RNAcentral. Lineage: Eukaryota; Viridiplantae; Streptophyta; Magnoliopsida; Arecales; Arecaceae.